Amaranthus tricolor (Joseph's coat) is the source of this 1586-nucleotide RNA transcript. RefSeq lists it as uncharacterized. NCBI's taxonomy places the organism in Eukaryota, Viridiplantae, Streptophyta, Magnoliopsida, Caryophyllales, Amaranthaceae. The transcript is spliced from 10 exons. The record is from RefSeq and is a predicted model, not a curated record.
AAUAUUUGACAUUUGUUGAAGUUUGUAGCCGGUAUUAUCGACUUUGGGUAUAUAAAAUUAUCAUUUAGAAUUUCAGACAUUCAAGAAUCAAGACCAUUUUUAGGGUUAAUACUCUGUUUGAUCUGAAGCUCAAUCAAAGUAAAGAUGGCGAAUCUGCCACAAUCACUCUCCUUAAACGCAGCACCUUACGGUCCAAUUCCAGGUAUCACUUCAUCUCCCAUUCCUCAAUCAAACCCUAGCGUCGAUCGGCAGAUGCAGUCAGCUGAGCUUCUCGUCCUUGACCUAAGUAAUCCCGAUCGUCGUGAAAAUGCUCUGCUCGAACUUUCCAAGAAAAGAGAAUUGUUUCAAGAUUUGGCUCCUCUAUUGUGGAAUUCUUUUGGAACUAUUGCUGCUCUUCUACAGGAAAUUGUAUCAAUAUACCAAGUGCUGUCACCACCUACCCUGACUCCUGCUCAAUCAAAUCGUGUCUGCAAUGCCCUUGCUUUAUUACAGUGUGUUGCAUCUCACCCUGAUACUCGAAUGCUGUUCUUAAAUGCCCACAUUCCUUUCUAUCUGUAUCCUUUUCUUAAUACAACGAGCAAAACUAGGCCUUUUGAGUACUUGCGGCUGACUAGCUUGGGUGUCAUUGGUGCCCUCGUAAAGGUUGAUGAUACUGAAGUCAUCAGUUUCCUUCUUCAAACGGAGAUAAUUCCUUUGUGUCUUCGUACCAUGGAAAUGGGGAGUGAAUUGUCAAAAACUGUAGCUACAUUUAUUGUCCAAAAGAUUCUUCUCGAUGAUGUGGGCUUGGAUUACAUAUGUACUACUGCUGAGCGCUUUUUUGCUGUUGGAAGAGUUUUAGCCAACAUGGUGGGUGCAUUGGCUGAACAGCCUUCUUCCCGGCUGCUGAAACAUAUUAUUAGAUGUUACCUCCGGCUUUCAGAUAACCCAAGAGCUUGUGAUGCUCUGAGAAGCUGCCUGCCAGAAAUGUUGAGAGAUGCCACCUUCGCUAGCUGCCUUCGUUUCUGUCAGGUUAAAUGUUGCUGGAUGCAAGUAACUUUCAUGAUCUAUUGUGCUGAGAUGUGAGAAAUCUUUUCAAGAAACUUACAGCAUGAUGUUGAUUGUUCUGUGUCUGAUUACUGGAAGAUCCAACGACAAGAAAGUGGCUUCAACAGUUGCUUCACAAUGUUGGAGGAGGGCCCCGAGUUGCCUUUCAACCCGGAACUGGUUUUGAACAUAUGCUGGUAAACUAGGUGAACAACCAAUUAUAUGACAAGCAUAAUAUCUUCAAUCUUGCAAAUCAAGUGGUAGCUUCUGACCUCCAGUAUGCUGUCAAGUCUAGUUUUCAAAGACCAUACAAAUAAUUAUGAAUAGGCCGGAAAUGCUAAAUUAAGCUAGGAGCUAGAGUAUAAGAUCCAAAGUUAGUUAUCUCUCGAAAUGUAGUUAGUAUGUACAAACCUUGUCGACUUUACGUUCAUUUGAUUGAUUAGUUAUGUGCAUGAACAAGUCAUUGUGUGUAAUUUCGGUUGAUGUACAUAAAAGAAUUGUGAUCGAGUUUUCAGUUGACUCUGUUUUGAUGUUGUGUUGUGAAUUGUGAUUAUCUGAUCUUA